AUGCACCUGACGAGUCCCAAAUUGGACGAAACACACGUCAAAGUGGAU
RNAcentral lists this non-coding RNA (48 nucleotides) under Schistosoma mattheei. The record is from RNAcentral. Lineage: Eukaryota; Metazoa; Platyhelminthes; Trematoda; Strigeidida; Schistosomatidae.